RNAcentral lists this ribosomal RNA (447 nucleotides) under uncultured bacterium. RNAcentral's name for it is "bacterial SSU rRNA". It matches the Rfam family "Bacterial small subunit ribosomal RNA", at positions 330 to 794 of the family's 1533-position model. The record is from RNAcentral.
GCCAGACUCCUACGGGAGGCAGCAGUGGGGAAUAUUGCACAAUGGGGGAAACCCUGAUGCAGCAACGCCGCGUGAGUGAAGAAGUAUUUCGGUAUGUAAAGCUCUAUCAGCAGGGAAGAAAAUGACGGUACCUGAGUAAGAAGCCCCGGCUAACUACGUGCCAGCAGCCGCGGUAAUACGUAGGGGGCAAGCGUUAUCCGGAUUUACUGGGUGUAAAGGGGGCGCAGACGGCGAUGCAAGCCAGGAGUGAAGGCCCGGGGCCCAACCCCGGGACUGCUCUUGGAACUGCGUGGCUGGAGUGCAGGAGGGGCAGGCGGAAUUCCUGGUGUAGCGGUGAAAUGCGUAGAUAUCAGGAGGAACACCGGUGGCGAAGGCGGCCUGCUGGACUGCAACUGACGUUGAGGCCCGAAAGCGUGGGGAGCAAACAGGAUUAGAUACCCCGGUACC